Molecule: ribosomal RNA, 371 nt
Filed under: uncultured bacterium
Lineage: Bacteria
Description: bacterial SSU rRNA
Rfam family: Bacterial small subunit ribosomal RNA
Source: RNAcentral
ACGUAGGGUGCAAGCGUUAAUCGGAAUUACUGGGCGUAAAGCGUGCGCAGGCGGUUAUGCAAGACAGAGGUGAAAUCCCCGGGCUCAACCUGGGAACUGCCUUUGUGACUGCAUAGCUAGAGUACGGUAGAGGGGGAUGGAAUUCCGCGUGUAGCAGUGAAAUGCGUAGAUAUGCGGAGGAACACCGAUGGCGAAGGCAAUCCCCUGGACCUGUACUGACGCUCAUGCACGAAAGCGUGGGGAGCAAACAGGAUUAGAUACCCUGGUAGUCCACGCCCUAAACGAUGUCAACUGGUUGUUGGGAGGGUUUCUUCUCAGUAACGAAGCUAACGCGUGAAGUUGACCGCCUGGGGAGUACGGCCGCAAGGUUA